Long non-coding RNA from Globicephala melas (long-finned pilot whale), 1286 nucleotides. RefSeq lists it as uncharacterized. The record is from RefSeq and is a predicted model, not a curated record. NCBI's taxonomy places the organism in Eukaryota, Metazoa, Chordata, Mammalia, Artiodactyla, Delphinidae.
GGGCUGUCAAAACAAAAUACCAUAGACUGGGUGGCUUAAAUAAAAUAAUUCAUUUUCUCACAGUUCUGGAGGCCAGGAAGUCUAAGAUUAUUGUGCCAGCCAAUUUGGUUUCCCGUGGGGUCUCUCUUCCUGACUUGCAGAUGGCCGCCUUCUCACCAUGUCCUCACAUAGCAGAGACAGAGAGAGACAGAGAGUGGCCUCCCUGGUGUCUCUUUUUGUUGUUAUUGUAUUCAUUCACCUGUUUUGUAUUUUAGGUUUCACAUAUAAGUGAUAACAUACAGUAUUUGACUUUCUCUAUCUAACUUAUUUCACUUAGCAUAAUACCCUCCAGGUCCAUCCAUGAUGUUGCAAAUGGCAAAAGUUCAUUCUUUUUUAUGGCUUAGUAAUAUUCCAUUGUAUAUACGCCUGGUGUCUCUUAUAAGGACACUCAUUUUACCAGAUUAGGGCUUCCCUCUUAUGACUUCAUUUAACCUUAAUUAGUUCCUUACUCCAAAUACCAGCGCACUGGGGGUUAGGCUUCAACAUACGAAUUUUGGGGUUACAUAACUCUGUCCAUAGCAGGAGGCUUUGAAAUUUAGUUUCCCUGAGCUGCCUGGGAUCCUAAGUGGUCUAAGUAGACCUAGAGAUGGCUGUGGAGCUGGAUGGAGAACUUGCUAGAAGGGACCACAGUACCAGAGUGAGGUACCAGAUCUGCCCUCUGCCUAAAAUUCAGCAUAUGCCAUGGUGAAUUGCAAAUGUUUAUUGAAAGGAUCAGUUGACUGUGCCUUCUUUUUGUAGGUGUCACAUGAGUGUCCCAAGUUCUCCAGCCUUCAGGAGUCACCCUUUCCUUGAACAUCCACUGAAUAUCAGCUCCCAGACCUGCAGGAAAUCCAUUCAAGAGCCCAGUACAUGCUGGAUUGCUGUGAGCAUUUAAUGAGAUAAACCAUGAAAAGCACAUGUCCAGCACCUACUAAGUGCUCUGUAAAAAGGGUCCCCUCAUGGGAAGAGCUGGGGGGCACUGGACCACCUGCACAAGAAUCCACUGAAGGACUCGAUAAACAUGCAGACACCCCAGUACCCCUGAGAGUGUGGGCCAGGAAUCUACUUGAUUAACCAGCAGCAGUGUGACCAGUUGUCUACUUGUCUACGUUCCUUCCAAGACAUGGCCAGUAGAUGGCGGUGCAGUGUGCACUUUCAAUGCAGCUUCUGCAUUUCUGGAAAGAUCUCCCUGUGAAACUUCCUGUGAAUUCAAGUUAACAUCCACCAGGAGAGCUUGGCUGCUUAAGCUGCUCUCCCCUCCUGUCCCU